RNAcentral lists this ribosomal RNA (250 nucleotides) under uncultured bacterium. Its description in RNAcentral is "partial 16S ribosomal RNA". It matches the Rfam family "Bacterial small subunit ribosomal RNA", at positions 107 to 353 of the family's 1533-position model. The record is from RNAcentral.
UGAGUAACGCGUGAGUAACCUGCCUUCAAGAGGGGGAGUAACAUUCUGAAAAGAAUGCUAAUACCGCAUGACAUAUCGGAACCACAUGGUUUUGAUAUCAAAGAUUUUAUCGCUUGAAGAUGGACUCGCGUCCGAUUAGUUAGUUGGUGAGGUAACGGCUCACCAAGACCGCGAUCGGUAGCCGGACUGAGAGGUUGAACGGCCACAUUGGGACUGAGACACGGCCCAGACUCCUACGGGAGGCAGCAUG